UACGUAGGUGGCGAGCGUUGUCCGGAUUUACUGGGCGUAAAGGGCGUGCAGGCGGUUUGUUAAGUGCAGAGUGAAAGCUCCCGGCUCAACUGGGAGAGGUCUUUGCAUACUGGCAAACUCGAGGGAGGCAGAGGAAAGUGGAAUUCCCGGUGUAGUGGUGAUAUGCGUAGAUAUCGGGAGGAACACCUGUGGCGAAGGCGGCUUUCUGGGCUGAAACUGACGCUGAGGCGGCGAAGGCUAGGGGAGCAAACAGG
This 254-nucleotide ribosomal RNA is filed under the name uncultured bacterium. Its description in RNAcentral is "partial 16S ribosomal RNA". It matches the Rfam family "Bacterial small subunit ribosomal RNA", at positions 524 to 776 of the family's 1533-position model. The record is from RNAcentral.